This 253-nucleotide ribosomal RNA is filed under the name uncultured bacterium. RNAcentral describes it as "partial 16S ribosomal RNA". It matches the Rfam family "Bacterial small subunit ribosomal RNA", at positions 524 to 776 of the family's 1533-position model. The record is from RNAcentral.
AACGUAGGACGCAAGCGGUAUCCGGAAUUACUGGGCGUAAAGCGCGUGUAGGCGGGUCUGUAAGUCUGUCGUGAAAGCUCCCGGCUAAACUGGGAGAGGUCGAUGGAAACUACAGGUCUGGAGUUUGGCAGAGGAAUGUGGAAUUCCGCGUGUAGUGGUGAAAUGCGUAGAGAUGCGGAGGAACACCAGUGGCGAAGGCGGCAUUCUGGGCCACAACUGACGCUGAGACGCGAAAGCGUGGGGAGCAAACAGG